GAUGAACGCUAGCUACAGGCUUAACACAUGCGAGUCGAGGGGAAACGACAUCGAAAGCUUGCUUUUGAUGGGCGUCGACCGGCGCACGGGUGAGUAACGCGCAUCCAACCUGCCCACCACUUGGGGAUAACCUUGCGAAAGUAAGACUAAUACCCAAUGACGUCUCUAGAAGACAUCUGAAAGAGAUUAAAGAUUUAUCGGUGAUGGAUGGGGAUGCGUCUGAUUAGCUUGUUGGCGGGGUAACGGCCCACCAAGGCGUCGAUCAGUAGGGGUUCUGAGAGGAAGGUCCCCCACAUUGGAACUGGGACACGGUCCAAACUCCUACGGGAGGCAGCAGUGAGGAAUAUUGGUCAAUGGGCGAGAGCCUGAACCAGCCAAGUAGCGUGCAGGAUGACGGCCCUAUGGGUUGUAAACUGCUUUUAUAAGGGAAUAAAGUGAGUCUCGUGAGACUUUUUGCAUGUACCUUAUGAAUAAGGACCGGCUAAUUCCGUGCCAGCCGCCGCAGUAA
Molecule: ribosomal RNA, 508 nt
Filed under: uncultured bacterium
Lineage: Bacteria
Description: partial 16S ribosomal RNA
Rfam family: Bacterial small subunit ribosomal RNA
Source: RNAcentral